Molecule: ribosomal RNA, 417 nt
Filed under: uncultured bacterium
Lineage: Bacteria
Description: bacterial SSU rRNA
Rfam family: Bacterial small subunit ribosomal RNA
Source: RNAcentral
UAUUGGUCAAUGGGCGUAAGCCUGAACCAGCCAAGUCGCGUGAGGGACGAAGGUUCUAUGGAUCGUAAACCUCUUUUAUAAGGGAAUAAAGUGUGGGACGUGUCCUAUUUUGUAUGUACCUUAUGAAUAAGGAUCGGCUAACUCCGUGACAGCAGCCGCGGUAAUACGGAGGAUCCGAGCGUUCUCCGGAUUUAUUGGGUUUAAAGGGUGCGUAGGCGGCCUUUUAAGUCAGCGGGGAAAGUCUGUGGCUCAACCAUAGAAUUGCCGUUGAAACUGGGGGGCUUGAGUAUGUUUGAGGCAGGCGGAAUGCGUGGUGUAGCGGUGAAAUGCUUAGAUAUCACGCAGAACCCCGAUUGCGAAGGCAGCCUGCCAAGCCAUGACUGACGCUGAUGCACGAAAGCGUGGGGAUCAAACAGG